This 477-nucleotide ribosomal RNA is filed under the name uncultured bacterium. Its description in RNAcentral is "partial 16S ribosomal RNA". It matches the Rfam family "Bacterial small subunit ribosomal RNA", at positions 28 to 507 of the family's 1533-position model. The record is from RNAcentral.
GAUGAACGCUAGCGGCGGGCCUAAUACAUGCAAGUCGAACGGGAAAGGUGGCACCACCUUGCGAGUGGCUUACGGGUGCGUAACGCGUAUACAACCUGCCUGUUACCCGGGGAUAGCCUUGCGAAAGCGAGAUUAAUACCCUAUGGUACUAUUGAGCGGCAUCGCUUGGUAGUUAAAGCUGAGGCGGUAACAGCGGGGUAUGCGUCCCAUUAGCUAGUUGGUAGUGUAACGGACUACCAAGGCGACGAUGGGUAGGGGUUCUGAGAGGAUGAUCCCCCACACUGGUACUGAGAUACGGACCAGACUCCUACGGGAGGCAGCAGUAGGGAAUAUUGGGCAAUGGACGGAAGUCUGACCCAGCCACGCCGCGUGCAGGAAGAAGGUCCUCUGGAUUGGAAACUGCUUUUCUUGGGGAAGAAAACCCUUCUGCGGAAGGAAUUGACGGUACUCAAGGAAUAAGCAUCGGCUAACUCCGUG